Molecule: unclassified non-coding RNA, 349 nt
Filed under: soil metagenome
Description: partial contains 5.8S ribosomal RNA, internal transcribed spacer 2, and large subunit ribosomal RNA
Rfam family: 5.8S ribosomal RNA (bases 1-121)
Source: RNAcentral
GAUGAAGAAACGUAGCGAAAUGCGAUAAGUAAUGUGAAUUGCAGAAUUCAGUGAAUCAUCGAAUCUUUGAACGCACAUUGCGCCCGCCAGUAUUCUGGCGGGCAUGCCUGUCUGAGCGUCAUUUCAACCCUCAUGCCCCUAGGGCGUGGUGUUGGGGAUCGGCCAAAGCCCGCGAGGGACGGCCGGCCCCUAAAUCUAGUGGCGGACCCGUCGUGGCCUCCUCUGCGAAGUAGUGAUAUUCCGCAUCGGAGAGCGAUGAGCCCCUGCCGUUAAACCCCCAACUUUCCAAGGUUGACCUCAGAUCAGGUAGGAAUACCCGCUGAACUUAAGCAUAUCAAUAAGCGGAGGA